CUGUAGGCCCGGCCGGCGCCCGCCGGCGACCCCCCUCAAUCUUUCUCAGGUUGACCUCGGAUCAGGUAGGGAUACCCGCUGAACUUAA
This 88-nucleotide ribosomal RNA is filed under the name Penicillium sp. CH. RNAcentral's name for it is "partial large subunit ribosomal RNA". Lineage: Eukaryota; Fungi; Ascomycota; Eurotiomycetes; Eurotiales; Aspergillaceae. RNAcentral also lists the same sequence under 1 other name. The record is from RNAcentral.